GCAUGUGUGUGUGUGUCUGUUGUGUCUUCAAUGAUAACCCUUUGGGUUUGAGAAAUGGUGAUUUCCCUUGGGUUGGUCUCUGUUGUUGAGAUUGAGUUAAAUAUGCAUAAUAUUUUUCUCACCCUCUAUUGUCUUGUCUUUGUGAUAGGAUGAUAGUAAAAAUGGCUGUGAUGAUAAAGCUCGAUUCAAAGGCUGGCUCUUCCCUGGUGACUUAAUGAUCAUUGUGCCAAAGGUGGAAUGUGGAGUGUUGGCCCAAUAUCAUUAAUCCCCCCCCCCCAAGCCCAAGCCCAAGCCCAUCCCCUUUAUACCCUAAAUCCAAAUCAGCCCCCCCCAUUUCAUCACUCCCGUGCGCCGCUGCAAUCUCUCUCUCCCAUCUGCGCCCUUCCAGUUCCCUCCGCCGCCCGACUCCUCGGUUCUCCUUCCGCCUUCAUUUCUCCACCGCCCUUCCACCGCCCCGUCUCCUCGUCUUCCCACCUGCCUUUUGCUCGACCUCUAUUUAUCCCCGCUGCAUUGCUUUCUAUUGUAGUAAGUUUCACACACUGUUUAACCGGAAGGCUCUGCUAUUCCUUCCUGAAGUGUCGCCGGAUUCCUGUUCGUGGUUUCCUGAUUGGUGACUGUGUGUGUGAACCUCGCUCCGAUUGAUUGCGUGUGUCGCCGGAUUCCUGUUAAUUGGAUUCCUGUUUGGUGAUACACUGUGGAUUUUGGUGGCUGUGCAAAGCGAGACUUGAGUGCCGAUUAGUUCUCCAUGUUCCCUUGAGCCGUGAUCAUUAACGCUGCCGGAAGAGCCGAGCCUACCGUGGGAAAAUCUGAGCCAAAGUGUCCCGAGGACACAUUUUCCCACUUCAAUCUUUUCUGCUCUUUCUUACUUUUCUGUCUUCUUUAGUUUCUUUCUUUGAACAGUUUAACUUGCUGUGUUUCUGUUGAUUUGCAGGUACUAGCAGGAAGAAGAGGAAGCAGAAGCUGUGAAGGAGAAAAACAGUAAAAGAAGAAGUGCCUGAGCACGAAGUGAGACGGACCGGAGGUUCGGGAAACAAGAGGAGUAAUCCCGGCAAGGCGAAGAUACCCAACAGUGGUAUCAGAGCCACGGGGACCUUGCCGGGGCUCCCCCCGAACACAUCCCUCUCACCCCGCCGCCCUUUGGCUGCGCCGACUCGCUCCCGACGAGCAAGGUUUUGGUAAGACCGACUCUUCCCCUACCUGGGAAGUCGGCUCUGGUAAAUUGGCUUAAGACCCUAAAACUCCUAGUCAUUAGGAUUGGUGUUGCCUGCUGUUUUUUCUUUGUUGUAUGUUACUGUUUGGUCUUGGUAUCUUGCGAUCCUGAUCUUUUGUGUGCUUCCGCUUGUUGCCUUAUAUCUCGAUAACCCUCUGGCAGUCAAAGCCAAGUGAGGUUCUCCCUUGCAUUUGGUCCAGUUCGUCUGGAUUCUCCUUUAAAGGAGUCUCCUCGUGCGAGUACCCUGGAAAUCAAGGGAGAAAGGGGGCUAUCUAGACAGGCUGUGUGUGCUUUGGUUCCUUAUUGUUUCCGCUGUUGUUUUGCUCUCUCUGGUGUUUCUGCUUUGCUCUGUGGUCUGACUGACCUGUUACUCUGUGAUUGUUGUGGUUUUCUGUGAAAAUUUGUGUUUGCUUAAGUGCUGCAUCUGCAUUCAUCAUGAACAAUAUGCUUUUGGUGCCAUUCAAUGGCAGGGAUGAUUUUCAGGACUGGAAAACCAAAAUAGAAUGCAUUCUUGUUAAGGAGAAGGUUAAUAAGGCUUUAUUAACUAAAAUUGAUAAAACUGUCACUGAUGAAAAAUUGCAUGACAUGAAUGAUAAUGCUAGGGCAACAAUUCUGUUGAAUUUAAGCAGUUCUGUUGUAAGGAAAGUGUCACACUAUGCAUGUGCUAAAGAACUGUGGGAUGAACUAAACUCCAUUUAUGCUGCACCCUCUGAAGUAUCUACUUGGUCUUUGCAAAAUCAGUUUAUGUCUUUCCAAAUGGAUUCUUCUAAAGAUGUUGACACUAAUAUGGAAAUUUUCAAUAAACUGCUUCAUGACUUAAAGCUAAAGAGAGUGAACUGAAAUUGGCUAAGUCAAAGCAUCUGCAUGGUGAGGUCAUGUUUGUUAACAAAGAUAAAAAGGGGUUUGAUCAAAAGCCUAAAAAGCUUUGUUGGAAUUGUGGAAAGCCUGGUCAUUUGUCAAAUAAGUGUAGACUGCCUAAGAAAAACAAGAGCUUUGAACCUGAACAGCGUGCUAACAAUGUGUUUGAAGAAGAUGGAGUCUAUAUGGUGCAUGAUCAUGAUUUUCAGUUCUUAAACUACUCCAAUGCUGUAUGUGCUGAGUCAGUCCCGUGCUUGCUUGAACCCUCACAAUCUGCUGCUCCAAGUGAGGUGGAGAAUGUGAAUGUUGUUGAUCAAAGCAAGUAUGAGCUUGUGUCUACACCCACUGUUUCAUUUGAGGUGGAUCCCCUACCCUUUUUGGGUGCAAACCUCUAAGGCUGCUUGUCUCUUCUUUGUCUUUGUUUUUUCUUUUUGCAUGAUGAGUGUUGUCUUUGAGUUGCCUGUUGUGUUCUGGUCUGUUUGCCUGCUGCUAUCCUGUGUUUGUUUUCUGUUUAUGUUUGUGUGUGAUGGUCUGGUUUUGCUUUGUCUUUUGUUGUCUGCUCUGUGUGUCUUGUGUGAUGUUGCUUGAGUGCAUGUGUGUGUGUGUCUGUUGUGUCUUCAAUGAUAACCCUUUGGGUUUGAGAAAUGGUGAUUUCCCUUGGGUUGGUCUCUGUUGUUGAGACUGAGUUAAAUAUGCAUAAUAUUUUUCUCACCCUCUAUUGUCUUGUCUUUGUGAUAGGAUGGUAGUAAAAAAUGGCUGUGAUGAUAAAGCUCGAUUCAAAGGCUGGCUCUUCCCUGGUGACUUAAUGAUCAUUGUGCCAAAGGUGGAAUGUGGAGUG
RNAcentral lists this long non-coding RNA (2906 nucleotides) under Salvia miltiorrhiza (redroot sage). RNAcentral describes it as "long non-coding RNA (SMIL_LNC000712)". The record is from RNAcentral. Lineage: Eukaryota; Viridiplantae; Streptophyta; Magnoliopsida; Lamiales; Lamiaceae.